This 492-nucleotide ribosomal RNA is filed under the name uncultured bacterium. RNAcentral's name for it is "partial 16S ribosomal RNA". It matches the Rfam family "Bacterial small subunit ribosomal RNA", at positions 29 to 507 of the family's 1533-position model. The record is from RNAcentral.
AGUGAACGCUGGCGGUAGGCCUAACACAUGCAGGUCGAACGGCAGCACAGUAAGAGCUUGCUCUUACGGGUGGCGAGUGGCGGACGGGUGAGGAGUACAUCGGAAUCUACUUUUUCGUGGGGGAUAACGUAGGGAAACUUACGCUAAUACCGCAUACGACCUACGGGUGAAAGCAGGGGAUCUUCGGACCUUGCGCGAUUGAAUGAGCCGAUGUCGGAUUAGCUAGUUGGCGGGGUAAAGGCCCACCAAGGCGACGAUCCGUAGCUGGUCUGAGAGGAUGAUCAGCCACACUGGAACUGAGACACGGUCCAGACUCCUACGGGAGGCAGCAGUGGGGAAUAUUGGACAAUGGGCGCAAGCCUGAUCCAGCCAUACCGCGUGGGUGAAGAAGGCCUUCGGGUUGUAAAGCCCUUUUGUUGGGAAAGAAAAGCAGCAGGUUAAUACCCCGCUGUUCUGACGGUACCCAAAGAAUAAGCACCGGCUAACUUCGUG